AAAAACAUGGCUCUUGGGAAAAUAAAGAGUCUGGCCUGCUCACUGAUAUUUAAAGAGCUGCAGUAUUCUAACUGUACUAAGGUAGCAUAAUACAUUGUCUUUUAAAUGAAGACUUGAAUGAAAGGUUUGACAUGAGACUAACUUUUAAAAAAAUUUAAAUAAAUUAUUUGUGAGUUAAAAUACUUAUAUAAAAUUAAAAAGACGAUAAGACCCUGUAAAAUUUUACUUACUUGUGGUAGGACCAGAUAAAUCAAAAUUAAGUUUAGCUGGGAUGGCUAAUAUACAAAAACUAUUUUACAUAAAACACUAAUUAGUGGUGCAAAAGACCCUAAAAGGAUCCAGAGAUUUAAUUACUUCAGGGAUAACAGCGUAAUUUCUUUUAGAGUUCUAAUCGAUUAAGAAGAUUGCGACCUCGAUGUUGAAUUAAGAGUUCUUAAUGGUGCAGAAGCUGUUAAUAUAGAUCUGUUCGAUCUUUCUCUCUUACAUGAUCUGAGUUCAAACCGGAGA
Molecule: ribosomal RNA, 507 nt
Filed under: Bathycuma cf. brevirostre ICE1-Bod004
Lineage: Eukaryota; Metazoa; Arthropoda; Malacostraca; Cumacea; Bodotriidae
Description: partial 16S ribosomal RNA
Rfam family: Bacterial large subunit ribosomal RNA
Source: RNAcentral